CGUCUGCCGCCAAGUCUGGGGCUGCUUUGUUUUUUUCCGGCACGUCGCCCGUAUUCACAUGUGACACUUUCUAGUGACUCGGAUACUAUCGCUACGCUAGCGGGUAUCCAGAUGAAGCAAGGAGUGUUCAUGCUGUCCGUGUACGCUCCUCGCAUUUCACCGAUAAUGUGUACCUGGAUGAGAACAUCAUGGAAGUGCAACUUGGAUUGACACAAAAAAGGAACGAAUUGAAACUUGACGCCGUUCCGACAGUGUUCCACGAACAAAGCGAGCCAGCAAUUUCGACACUGCAGGCAGUUCGACAGGGUCAAGCGCAAGUGAAGGACCAGGUGCUGCUGAUCAAGUCCCAUCCAUCCAUGAAACGGCAUCAAACAAUGUACGUGUGCGCACGGCAAUUUUGCUGAGAGACCUGGUUUUUACACUAAUGCCUUUACAACGCCUCUGACAAAUUAGGAUCUCCCAGAACAGUGCUUUCUUCAUCCAAGUUCAAGAAGUAAAGAGAAUGACUUCAUGGCUUCUACUGACAUCUCACAGCUACAUGCCAAGACAAAAUGCCUUGACAGCAGGAAAUGAAAAGAAAAAAAAAGGUCCGUUUCAGGUCCACCCAAAUCUUUGUGCAGAGGCUGACAACAACGCUACUGUGAGAUGAUGAAUGAUGCUGAUGCAGCGUUGAGAUUAAGCCCUUGUUUCCUUUUUUGCAAUGCUAUACAUUACUGCUGGUUAAAUGUAAAAUCAUGCACCUACCUCCAGACAUUAAAGGGGCUACCAGAGAUGUAGUGUCAAUUCAACAGAAAACCUGCAUGUUCUACGAGGCACUGUCACAUAAGCAUUGGCCAAAUUUGCUGUCCUGUGAGCUUUGAUAGGAUAUGCCAUAGAUAGUAAGAGGCCUCUUACUGUAAAAGGGAGGUGCAUUAAUCGAGUAGUGGGGUCUGAGGCAUGAGGGCCAUUUCAGGAUGUACUAACCCUUCUAAAAUUUUACACUUGGUUAUGCCCAGAGAUCGAUCCAGAUCCCCUCCCAACACCCAGAGUUUUUUUCCUGUGUACCACUGUUAUAAUGAAACCAUCCAAUUUACUGUCCAAUCAUCCCAUUUUCAUUGCAAUUGAAGUACUUACAAAACUG
Molecule: long non-coding RNA, 1120 nt
Organism: Ornithodoros turicata
Lineage: Eukaryota; Metazoa; Arthropoda; Arachnida; Ixodida; Argasidae
Exons: 3
Source: RefSeq, a predicted model, not a curated record